RNAcentral lists this ribosomal RNA (812 nucleotides) under uncultured Pseudomonadota bacterium. RNAcentral's name for it is "bacterial SSU rRNA". It matches the Rfam family "Bacterial small subunit ribosomal RNA", at positions 58 to 847 of the family's 1533-position model. The record is from RNAcentral. Lineage: Bacteria; Pseudomonadati; Pseudomonadota.
CAAGUCGCACGAGAAAGGGGGCAACCCCGAGUAGAGUGGCGCACGGGUGCGUAACACGUAGGCAAUCUUCCCUCAGGAGGGGGAUAACCAUCCGAAAGGAUGGCUAAUACCGCGUAAGACCACAGUUGCUUCGGCAACAGGGGUCAAAGGGGGCCUCUCCAUGGAAGCUCUCACCUGAGGACGAGCCUGCGGCCCAUCAGCUAGUUGGCAGGGUAAUGGCCUACCAAGGCUAAGACGGGUAGCUGGUCUGAGAGGAUGAUCAGCCACACUGGCACUGAAACACGGGCCAGACUCCUACGGGAGGCAGCAGUGGGGAAUAUUGGACAAUGGGCGAAAGCCUGAUCCAGCGACGCCGCGUGGGUGAUGAAGGCCUUCGGGUUGUAAAGCCCUGUGGGCAGGGAAGAAAACGGCGAGUUCAAAUAGGACUUGUCCUUGACGGUACCUGCUCAGAAAGCACCGGCUAACUCUGUGCCAGCAGCCGCGGUAAGACAGAGGGUGCAAACGUUGCUCGGAAUUACUGGGCGUAAAGCGCGUGUAGGCGGAUCGGUGUGUCGGGUGUGAAAUCCCUGGGCUCAACCCAGGAACUGCAUUCGAAACUACCGGUCUAGAGUGGUGGAGAGGGAAGUGGAAUUCCUGGUGUAGAGGUGAAAUUCGUAGAUAUCAGGAGGAACACCAGUGGCGAAGGCGGCUUCCUGGACACCAACUGACGCUGAGACGCGAAAGCGUGGGGAGCAAACAGGAUUAGAUACCCUGGUAGUCCACGCUGUAAACGAUGGGCACUAGGUGUCGCGGGUUUUGACCCCCGCGGUGCC